AUACGAAAGGGGCUAGCGUUGUUCGGAAUUACUGGGCGUAAAGCGCAUGUAGGCGGUUUGCUAAGUUAGGGGUGAAAUCCCGGAGCUCAACUCCGGAACUGCCUCUAAAACUGGUAUACUAGAGGAUGUGAGAGGAUAGUGGAAUUCCGAGUGUAGAGGUGAAAUUCGUAGAUAUUCGGAAGAACACCAGUGGCGAAGGCGACUGUCUGACACAUUUCUGACGCUGAGAUGCGAAAGCGUGGGGAGCAAACAGGAUUAGAAACCCCUGUAGUCC
Molecule: ribosomal RNA, 274 nt
Filed under: uncultured bacterium
Lineage: Bacteria
Description: partial 16S ribosomal RNA
Rfam family: Bacterial small subunit ribosomal RNA
Source: RNAcentral